Molecule: non-coding RNA, 783 nt
Filed under: Pyrocoelia fumigata
Lineage: Eukaryota; Metazoa; Arthropoda; Insecta; Coleoptera; Lampyridae
Source: RNAcentral
UUUUUUAUUUAUUUUAGUUAAAUAUUUAUAUAUUAUAUUUAUAAAAUUUAAUUAAAAGUUUAAUUUUAACUUGUUUAUUUAAUUAAUUAUUAUUUUACAUGUAUUUUUUAUUAAAAAUAUUUUUUCAGUAAUUAGUUUUAUUAAAUUAGUAUUUUAAUUUUAGUAAUUAUUUAUAGAUCUAAUAAAAUUUGUGCCAGCAAUUGCGGUUAAACAAAUAGAUUAAUUAAAUAUUUUUGGUUAUAAUAAAUUGUUUAAUUAUGAAUUCAUUAAAAUUUUAAGGUGAAAUUUAAAUUUUAAUAUUUUUAAAGAAAAUUAUUUAAUAAAAUUAUAUUAAAACUAGGAUUAGAUACCCUAUUAUUGUUUUUGUAAAUUUAAAUUCUGGAUUAGUAUUAGUUAUGUUCUUUAAAAUUAAAAAAUUUGGCGGUAUUUUAUUCAGUUCAGAGGAACCUGUCCUGUAAUUGAUAGUCCACAAUAUUUUCUACUUAUUCUUUUAGCUUGUAUAUCGUUGUUAACGAAUUUUUUUAUAGGGGAAAUUUUCUUAUAUUUUUAUGUUAAUAAAUUUCAGAUCAAGGUGCAGCUUAUGGCUAAGAAGAGGUGGGUUACAAUAAAUUUAUUUUUGGUUAUUUGAUUUAAAUAUUUAAUAUAAAUUGGAUUUGAUAGUAAUUGUAUUUAUUUAAUUAUAAUGAUUAUUGUUUUAAAAUAUGUACAUAUUGCCCGUCGCUCUCAAUAAUUUGAGAUAAGUCGUAACAAAGUAGAUGUACUGGAAAGUGUAUCUAGAAUAUG